Columba livia (rock pigeon) is the source of this 1192-nucleotide long non-coding RNA. RefSeq lists it as uncharacterized. Lineage: Eukaryota; Metazoa; Chordata; Aves; Columbiformes; Columbidae. The record is from RefSeq and is a predicted model, not a curated record. The transcript is spliced from 2 exons.
CAAGCAUGCGUGAGGCCAUGCCCUUUGCUGGAGCAGGUAGCUUGGGAAAAGACCUGUGCCCAGACUCAGCUACCAGCUGUGGGAUUGCAAUACCUGCAUGGACGGGGCCCUGGUAGAAGAGAUGGUGCUUCUGGCUUUCCUGAAGAACACUGGCUUUGAUGCAUCCUCCUCGUCACUGUUGCUGCCCAGUUCUUUCAUCAGGUCCUCGAUGGCGUAGGGGGACUGAUCCACAAUGAUCUCAAAGAUACCAGUGGCGACGGCAUGCAGCACACUUCGACUGUGUUACAAGAGAGCGGGGAUGAGAGUUGAAAGGCAAAAGCAUGCACGCUCUCCCCUCUCACAAUUAAAAAAUGGAAAUUUGAGGGACACAGGGAAAACGGAUUAAAAAGAUGAUCUCAGAAGAGCAUCUAGCUCUCCAGAUGAGGCAAGUGAACCUGUUACUUCCUGGACAGCAGUCUUUUAAUCCAAACAGUGUCCUGCCAGUGUUUAUAUGCUGCUCUAUAUCACAAGGCAACAACAAAAAAUCUACCCAGAGCAGCUGUCCUAUGUAUGUUUGAAAAAAUAUAAGCAGACAAAACCAAGCAACAAAGGCUGAUCUAGUUCUUAUAAAUCCAUGAAGGUUAUCUCUAGCUUUGAUAAACACAAGGUAUCUUCAAAUGACUGUGCACAUCAUUAAUACAAUAUCCUUCUUUCUCUACAUUCUGAAGUUAUGCUUUGGCUCUUCUUCAAUCCAUUUAUUACCAUGUGGAGCAGUAAAUGCAGAAUUUCUUAAUUCUUAAAAAAUAUGUAUAAUUUCAUUAAACUUACUCCUUUGAAUUGGCAGCAAUUUUGCAGAAAGGUUCAAUGAACUUGAGAUUCUGGUCUGCUGUGAGCUGUAUAAUUAGAAAGAAAGAAAGAAAGAAAAAUAAUUAGUACAGUAAAUAUUGUAUAUGUGUACAAUUAAAUUCCUUGAAUAUUUGGUGUAUGGGAUCUUCUUUAAGAAGUUAAGCUGAAGUCCUUCAGCAUAUUAUCUGGUUCCAACUGACAGGAGUAUCCAGUGACUUUUUGUUACCUCUGCUACCACCAACUUCCAGAAAUUCUCUGGAAGCAUUACAAAAAUGUUGAUUGCCUUGCAGACUUGAAUCUACUGAGUAGAGAAACAUAACAAACCUUAUUAUUUUAGAUAUGGAAACAAGAGGCAGAGAAAACUUAA